AGAGUUUGAUCCUGGCUCAGGACGAACGCUGGCGGCGUGCUUAACACAUGCAAGUCGAACGGAAAGGCCCUGCUUUUGUGGGGUGCUCGAGUGGCGAACGGGUGAGUAACACGUGAGUAACCUGCCCUUGACUUUGGGAUAACUUCAGGAAACUGGGGCUAAUACCGGAUAGGAGCUCCUGCUGCAUGGUGGGGGUUGGAAAGUUUCGGCGGUUGGGGAUGGACUCGCGGCUUAUCAGCUUGUUGGUGGGGUAGUGGCUUACCAAGGCUUUGACGGGUAGCCGGCCUGAGAGGGUGACCGGCCACAUUGGGACUGAGAUACGGCCCAGACUCCUACGGGAGGCAGCAGUGGGGAAUAUUGCACAAUGGGCGGAAGCCUGAUGCAGCAACGCCGCGUGCGGGAUGACGGCCUUCGGGUUGUAAACCGCUUUCGCCUGUGACGAAGCGUGAGUGACGGUAAUGGGUAAAGAAGCACCGGCUAACUACGUGCCAGCAGCCGCGGUGAUACGUAGGGUGCGAGCGUUGUCCGGAUUUAUUGGGCGUAAAGGGCUCGUAGGUGGUUGAUCGCGUCGGAAGUGUAAUCUUGGGGCUUAACCCUGAGCGUGCUUUCGAUACGGGUUGACUUGAGGAAGGUAGGGGAGAAUGGAAUUCCUGGUGGAGCGGUGGAAUGCGCAGAUAUCAGGAGGAACACCAGUGGCGAAGGCGGUUCUCUGGGCCUUUCCUGACGCUGAGGAGCGAAAGCGUGGGGAGCGAACAGGCUUAGAUACCCUGGUAGUCCACGCUGUAAACGGUGGGUACUAGGUGUGGGGUCCAUUCCACGGGUUCCGUGCCGUAGCUAACGCUUUAAGUACCCCGCCUGGGGAGUACGGCCGCAAGGCUAAAACUCAAAGGAAUUGACGGGGCCCCGCACAAGCGGCGGAGCAUGCGGAUUAAUUCGAUGCAACGCGUAGAACCUUACCUGGGUUUGACAUGGAUCGGGAGCGCUCAGAGAUGGGUGUGCCUCUUUUGGGGUCGGUUCACAGGUGGUGCAUGGCUGUCGUCAGCUCGUGUCGUGAGAUGUUGGGUUAAGUCCCGCAACGAGCGCAACCCUUGUUCACUGUUGCCAGCACGUUAUGGUGGGGACUCAGUGGAGACCGCCGGGGUCAACUCGGAGGAAGGUGGGGAUGACGUCAAGUCAUCAUGCCCCUUAUGUCCAGGGCUUCACGCAUGCUACAAUGGCUGGUACAGAGAGUGGCGAGCCUGUGAGGGUGAGCGAAUCUCGGAAAGCCGGUCUCAGUUCGGAUUGGGGUCUGCAACUCGACCUCAUGAAGUCGGAGUCGCUAGUAAUCGCAGAUCAGCAACGCUGCGGUGAAUACGUUCCCGGGGCUUGUACACACCGCCCGUCAAGUCAUGAAAGUUGGUAACACCCGAAGCCGGUGGCCUAACCGUUGUGGGGGAGCCGUCGAAGGUGGGACUGGUGAUUAGGACUAAGUCGUAACAAGGUAACC
Molecule: ribosomal RNA, 1486 nt
Filed under: Cutibacterium acnes
Lineage: Bacteria; Bacillati; Actinomycetota; Actinomycetes; Propionibacteriales; Propionibacteriaceae
Also listed under: 1 other name
Description: bacterial SSU rRNA
Rfam family: Bacterial small subunit ribosomal RNA
Source: RNAcentral